Molecule: ribosomal RNA, 301 nt
Filed under: uncultured bacterium
Lineage: Bacteria
Description: partial 16S ribosomal RNA
Rfam family: Bacterial small subunit ribosomal RNA
Source: RNAcentral
CAGUAGCCGCGGUAAUACGUAGGGUGCGAGCGUUAAUCGGAAUUACUGGGCGUAAAGCGUGCGUAGGCGGUGAGUUAAGUCUGCUGUGAAAUCCCCGGGCUCAACCUGGGAAUGGCAGUGGAUACUGGCUCGCUAGAGUGUGUCAGAGGAUGGUGGAAUUCCCGGUGUAGCGGUGAAAUGCGUAGAGAUCGGGAGGAACAUCAGUGGCGAAGGCGGCCAUCUGGGACAACACUGACGCUGAGGCACGAAAGCGUGGGGAGCAAACAGGAUUAGAUACCCCAGUAGUCCCUGUCUCUUAUAC